GCCCCAGUAACGGCGAGUGAAGCGGCAACAGCUCAAAUUUGAAAUCUGGCUCCCCCCGCGGGGGCCCGAGUUGUACUUUGGAGAGGAUGCUUUGGGCGCGGCGCCUUCCGAGUUCCUUGGAACAGGACGCCACAGAGGGUGAGAGCCCCGUACGGUCGGACGCCUAGCCCGUGUAAAGCUCCUUCGACGAGUCGAGUAGUUUGGGAAUGCUGCUCAAAAUGGGAGGUAAAUUUCUUCUAAAGCUAAAUACUGGCCAGAGACCGAUAGCGCACAAGUAGAGUGAUCGAAAGAUGAAAAGCACUUUGAAAAGAGGGUUAAACAGCACGUGAAAUUGUUGAAAGGGAAGCGCCUGCGACCAGACGCGCCGCCCGUGGCCCACCCGGCGCUCKGCGCCGGGGCACGCCGCGGGCGGCGGGCCAGCAUCGGCUCCCACCAGGGGGAUAAGGGCCGCGGGAACGUAGCUCCCUGCGGGGAGUGUUAUAGCCCGCGGCGCCAUGCCUCUGGGGGGGCCGAGGACCGCGCUCGC
This 526-nucleotide ribosomal RNA is filed under the name Raffaelea sp. RNAcentral describes it as "LSU rRNA". It matches the Rfam family "Eukaryotic large subunit ribosomal RNA", at positions 77 to 605 of the family's 3401-position model. The record is from RNAcentral. Lineage: Eukaryota; Fungi; Ascomycota; Sordariomycetes; Ophiostomatales; Ophiostomataceae.